RNAcentral lists this ribosomal RNA (460 nucleotides) under uncultured bacterium. RNAcentral's name for it is "partial 16S ribosomal RNA". It matches the Rfam family "Bacterial small subunit ribosomal RNA", at positions 339 to 795 of the family's 1533-position model. The record is from RNAcentral.
CUACGGGGUGCUGCAGUAAGGAAUAUUGCGCAAUGGAGGCAACUCUGACGCAGCCAUGCCGCGUGCAGGAAGAAGGCCUUAUGGGUCGUAAACUGCUUUUAUUUAGGAAUAAACCCCCGAACGUGUUCGGGGCUGAAGGUACUAAACGAAUAAGCACCGGCUAACUCCGUGCCAGCAGCCGGCGGUAAUACGGAGGGUGCAAGCGUUAUCCGGAUUUAUUGGGUUUAAAGGGUGCGCAGGCGGGCUAUUAAGUCAGUGGUGAAAUCCCGGGGCUCAACUCCGGAACUGCCAUUGAUACUGAUAGUCUUGAGUUUGGUUGAAGUGGGCGGAAUGUAGCAUGUAGCGGUGAAAUGCAUAGAUAUGCUACAGAACACCAAUCGCGAAGGCAGCUCACUAAGCCAAAACUGACGCUCAUGCACGAAAGCGUGGGGAUCAAACAGGAUUAGAUACCCCGGUAGUC